CCUACGGGUGGCAGCAGUGAGGAAUAUUGGUCAAUGGGCGCGAGCCUGAACCAGCCAAGUAGCGUGAAGGAUGACUGCCCUACGGGUUGUAAACUUCUUUUAUAAAGGAAUAAAGUGAGGCACGUGUGCCUUUUUGUAUGUACUUUAUGAAUAAGGAUCGGCUAACUCCGUGCCAGCAGCCGCGGUAAUACGGAGGAUCCGAGCGGUAUCCGGAUUUAUUGGGUUUAAAGGGUGCGUAGGGGGGUCGUUAAGUCAGUUGUCAAAAUUUACGGCUCAUCCGUUUCCUCGCAAUUGAUACUGGCGGUCUUGAGUGGAAGAGAGGUAGGCGGAAUGCGUGGUGUAGCGGUGAAAUGCAUAGAUAUCACGAAGAACCCCGAUUGCGAAGGCAGCAUGCCGGCUUCCCACUGACGCUGAAGCACGAAAGCGUGGGGAUCGAACAGGAUUAGAUACCCUAGUAGUC
RNAcentral lists this ribosomal RNA (460 nucleotides) under uncultured bacterium. RNAcentral's name for it is "partial 16S ribosomal RNA". It matches the Rfam family "Bacterial small subunit ribosomal RNA", at positions 338 to 795 of the family's 1533-position model. The record is from RNAcentral.